Anguilla anguilla (European eel) is the source of this 1292-nucleotide long non-coding RNA. RefSeq lists it as uncharacterized. The transcript has 4 exons. The record is from RefSeq and is a predicted model, not a curated record. NCBI's taxonomy places the organism in Eukaryota, Metazoa, Chordata, Actinopteri, Anguilliformes, Anguillidae.
GCAGCUCUUCCACAGGUGAUUUAGAUUGGCCUCCUAAUUAUUGUGGGAGAAUCAAACGAAGGAAGAAGUAUUUUCGGCGUUUUGCUUCGGUAUUUUAACUUCUGAUACAGUGAUGUACGGUAUUUUGCCCUCUUCUAUUCGCUGCGUGUCUUACUGACAGUUGCUGUUUUUUCCACAAGCCUGUGGAUUUUGAGGUUGGAGUAUUCUGCCAGUGAUUUAGUUUUUCUUUCAUUCUAUUAAAAAUAUAUUAAGUAAUAAAUAAACGAAGCAGACAGCCCGCGAACGCCGAAGGCAAAGGAACGAUUGGGAUGACCCUGGCCAAAGGGGUUAAUCUUCCAACAGAGGAACCCUUAUGGAAUCGGAGCAGGGUCAGACCUGGGUCAGACCUGGGACAGCCGCACGUGGAAAACUCCUCCAGCUCCAUGGAGUCUUUAUUACACACCGUCAGGGCCUUUGUGAAGGAUCAUGGCGUGAACGCAAAGCAGGGCAAACAAGGCCUACGGAGAAGGCUUCCCGACUCUCUCCUUCACAGCGAGAACAGCGGAUUCCCUCUGGGGGUUGUUAAAACGGAGUGCCUAUGGUGAACUAGCAGGCAGACUGUUUUCCCUCCGUCGGCUCAGAAGCAAUGUGCCCUUGCUGCUAUCUACAAUCUACAGCGCUUUGGCGGUGGCCUGUAGGAAUUGACGGGGAUUAAAAGAGAUGCUGAUCUCGGGGAACUCAGAAGAACUCGGGUGAGCAAAGAAAGAUGCUACUCCAUCAUGAGCCUGACGAGGAGGGACAGGCUGGGUUCCAGGGGUCGGUCCCUCCCCCUGUUUGGGGCCUGAACAUUAAGGUAGAGGAUAAAUCAUCGCUAGCUUCCAGUUUCCCAGCUUCUAUAAAGAAUAACACCCAGACAGAGCAGUGAGAUCGUUAUUUGGUCAAAAGGGCAUGUAAGCUUGACCCUUUUGUGUUUUUUUCCCCCCACUGAAACAUUCGGACUCAGUCGAUUCUUCGCAGCGUUGGAUAUUGUUGAGGCACUGAGGAUUGUUACGUCACUGUUUGCUUGGCAGACCCCCUGUGGGACUGCCUACACAGUUUACAUAGUUCAUUUUACACAGUAAAUUAAGCAUGCCAUCGAUUCAUUCAGACGGUUCUAUAUCAAUGCAAUUUGGCUUAAGCACCUUGUUCAAGGCUGAAACAACAAGGCUCCACUUGUGAACGGAGAUUUUGAAAAAAUAACAUUUAUUUGAGCUCACUGCUCUACAACUCAGCACUACCUCCAAUAUCCAUUUAAAAAUUGAGAACAGACCCAA